Molecule: ribosomal RNA, 494 nt
Filed under: uncultured bacterium
Lineage: Bacteria
Description: partial 16S ribosomal RNA
Rfam family: Bacterial small subunit ribosomal RNA
Source: RNAcentral
GACGAACGCUGGCGGCGUGCUUAACACAUGCAAGUCGAACGGUGAAGCGCCUUCCUUUUUGGUGGGUGUGGAUGAGUGGCGAACGGGUGAGUAACACGUGAGUAACCUGCCCCCUUCUUCUGGAUAACCGCAUGAAAGUGUGGCUAAUACGGGAUAUUCUGGGUCUGUCGCAUGAUGGGUCUGGGAAAGAUAUUGUUUCGGUGGGGGAUGGGCUCGCGGCCUAUCAGCUUGUUGGUGGGGUGAUGGCCUACCAAGGCGGUGACGGGUAGCCGGCCUGAGAGGGUGGACGGUCCCACUGGGACUGAGGCACGGCCCAGACUCCUACGGGAGGCAGCAGUGGGGAAUAUUGCACAAUGGGCGCAAGCCUGAUGCAGCGACGCCGCGUGAGGGAUGGAGGCCUUCGGGUUGUGAACCUCUUUCGCCAGUGAAGCAGGCCUGCCUCGUUUGUGGGUGGGUUGACGGUAGCUGGAUAAGAAGCGCCGGCUAACUACGUG